CCUACGGGAGGCAGCAGUGGGGAAUAUUGGACAAUGGGGGAAACCCUUAUCCAGCGACGCCGCGUGAGGGAAGAAGGUUUUCGGAUUGUAAACCUCUGUCAGUGGGGACGAUAAUGACGGUACCCACGGAGGAAGCCACGGCUAACUACGUGCCAGCAGCCGCGGUAAUACGUAGGUGGCAAGCGUUGUCCGGAAUUACUGGGUGUAAAGGGAGCGUAGACGGCAGAGCAAGUCUGAAGUGAAAGCCCGCGGCCCAACUGCGGGACUGCUUUGGAAACUGCCCGGCUAGAGUGCUGGAGAGGUAAGCGGAAUUCCUAGUGUAGCGGUGAAAUGCGUAGAUAUUAGGAGGAACACCAGUGGCGAAGGCGGCUUACUGGACAGUAACUGACGUUGAGGCUCGAAAGCGUGGGGAGCAAACAGGAUUAGAUACCCCGGUAGUC
RNAcentral lists this ribosomal RNA (440 nucleotides) under uncultured bacterium. Its description in RNAcentral is "partial 16S ribosomal RNA". It matches the Rfam family "Bacterial small subunit ribosomal RNA", at positions 338 to 795 of the family's 1533-position model. The record is from RNAcentral.